This 249-nucleotide unclassified non-coding RNA is filed under the name plant metagenome. RNAcentral's name for it is "partial contains 5.8S ribosomal RNA, internal transcribed spacer 2, and large subunit ribosomal RNA". It matches the Rfam family "Bacterial small subunit ribosomal RNA", at positions 528 to 777 of the family's 1533-position model. The record is from RNAcentral.
UAAGGACCGAGCGUUGUCCGGAAUCAUUGGGCGUAAAGGGUACGUAGGCGGCUAGAAAAGUUAGAAGUCAAAGGCUAUAGCUCAACUAUAGUAAGCUUCUAAAACUAUUUAGCUUGAGAGAUGGAAGGGAAAGUGGAAUUCCUAGUGUAGCGGUGGAAUGCGCAGAUAUUAGGAGGAAUACCGGUGGCGAAGGCGACUUUCUGGCCAUUUUCUGACGCUGAGGUACGAAAGCGUGGGUAGCAAACAGGA